Molecule: RNase P RNA, 391 nt
Filed under: Pseudooceanicola sp.
Lineage: Bacteria; Pseudomonadati; Pseudomonadota; Alphaproteobacteria; Rhodobacterales; Paracoccaceae
Description: RNase P RNA component class A
Rfam family: Bacterial RNase P class A
About the family: Ribonuclease P (RNase P) is a ubiquitous endoribonuclease, found in archaea, bacteria and eukarya as well as chloroplasts and mitochondria. Its best characterised activity is the generation of mature 5'-ends of tRNAs by cleaving the 5'-leader elements of precursor-tRNAs.
Source: RNAcentral
ACGGAAGGCCGGAUGGCCGCGGGCCUCGGCCCGAGGAAAGUCCGGACUCCACAAGGUAACGGUGCCGGGUAACGCCCGGCGGGGGCAACCCCAGGGAAAGCGCCACAGAGAACAGACCGCCACGCUUGCGUGGUCAGGGUGAAACGGUGCGGUAAGAGCGCACCGCGGGACGGGCAACCGGACCGGCAAGGCAAGCCCCACCGGGAGCAAUGCCGAAUAGGAACCUCGCGCGGGUCCGGUCCCCUUCGGGGCGAUACCGCCGCAGGGCCACCUUGGCCCGGAGGUUCGGGUUGGCAGCUAGAGGCGCCGGGGUAAUCCGGCGUUUAGAGGAAUGGUCAUCGAACCGGCGCAAGUCGGGGAACAGAAUCCGGCUUACAGGCCUUCCGUGCGU